AUGAGCAGUUAAAUGCAUCGCAGUAACAUCGUAUUUUUUUUUUUUUUUUUUAUCAAAUUUUACUGUAUAUUUAUGAAACUCAUUUAAAAUUAUACAGAGGACGUAUCUAAAAAUAAGUGCAUACUACGUUUUAAAUGAUUGUUUAGAAAAUACGUAUAAUAUCUAUUAUUUAAAAAUAUACUUGUUUCUGUUAUCCUUCGCCAGUUUGGCCCCUAAGGAGUAAAACAGUUAAAACGUCAAUUUGCUAAAAGUUUUAGAACUUGAGACAAAAGAAAUUUUAAAAAUAGAAACACAGAAGAGAAAACACCUGACUUCCUUAUCAUUUUCGUAAUCCAUUGUAGUCGAGUUAGACGUAACAACAUUAGGUUGAAGGUUAGAUUUUGAGGCGGAUACAAAACAAUGCCAAACGAUGCACUUCAUAAUAAUUGCUGCACUAACCUAUUUUAUUAUUAUUUUUUAAAGUAGUAUUAGAAUGAUUUAUUAUAUAAUGAACCAUUCUGUAAUAUUAUUGUUGUUCUCUCAUGGGAGAGAGAGAGAGAGAAUGUGUAUGUGUGUGUGUGUGUGUGUGUGAAGCUCGAUCGAUUAUUUUUUUGUUGUAUUUUUGUGUCUACUAGAUGUGUUUUUUUAAUAAUAAAUUUUAUAGAUCUAGAAAAUACAGUAAUUUUCCAAAGUGUUUUCCAGAUUACUUGAAUUAAAGAGUGGAUAUAAUUUCAGCGACGACGCGAGUAGCAACUAGAAUAGCUCAUAAGCUCAGGAAAUGUUUCGAUGUAGUAGUUUCCGCAUAAAAAAUUCUCGCAAAAAGUUUUUGUAUUGUUUUUGUCUCUGUACGCUUUUAACAAAUUUAGCAAAACAUGCCUUCUUACGCGCGAUUAAAUUCUACAUUUCAAAGUUUACCAGAUUGAUAUUGGAUAGCGUAACACUUAAUCUUGACUUUUCUACUUGCAAGAUUAAGUUUGGCAUCGGUGACAGACUGACAGUUCUCUUUUUUAAGAAUUUAGAUAGGUUAACUCGAGAAACUGUCUGUUAAAUCCGAUUUGUUCGACUUUAUUACAGUCUACGAAAAAAAAAAAAACCAACGUUUAAAGAUUAAAAAUAGAAUCCAAAAAUAAGAAAAUUCGCAGUUUAAAAAAAGAAAUUCUACAUGCACACUGACAUAUCGAUUGACCCAUAAAAUUUGAUGUUUCAUUCCGAAAACGAAGAAUGUUAAGAAUAUUUAGGACAAAACACGAGGGAAUACUUCGUAUGAAAACCCAAAACCAAUCACAUUAAUGAAAAUGACGGUGGUGAAUAUUCGAAAAAAAUAUAUAUUUAAGCGUAUACAUAAACAGAAGUAAUAAGAACGAUCGCCGCCGGUUUAAUAAUUGAUGUUGAUUAUAUUUAGCAGCACACGCAGUUAAUUUUAAUGUAUUCUGCGGGAAAAUUGUUAAAGUGGCUACUACAUUAACUCCUUACCUGUUAUAUAUAUCGUCAGGGAAUAAUCGAUUUAUCCAUUGACCCAAAUUUCGACUGGCACAUUGUGCGCGCGUUUUUACAUUCGAUAAAUGGAUACUCGUUUUGUUAACGUCGAGAGAAUAUAAUCGCUCAUUCAAAUAAUUAAUCCAUUGUUAUGCUGUCAUUCGUGUCCGUGGAUGAAGAAUGUCUAUUCGAUGAGGAGGUUGUUUCAUUUAUUCAGUGAAAUGAGCGGACAGCCGCUUCUAUCGCGUGACGGUGUCGCUCGCUCGCUCGCUAGCGACUUUUGCUACGAACUUUUAUUUUUCUUUUGUUGACGUCGAAUUUAAAAUUUUAAUUAAAAUAAUCGAAAAUUUUUUUUCGUUAGCG
RNAcentral lists this long non-coding RNA (1818 nucleotides) under Androctonus crassicauda. Lineage: Eukaryota; Metazoa; Arthropoda; Arachnida; Scorpiones; Buthidae. The record is from RNAcentral.